Molecule: long non-coding RNA, 1999 nt
Organism: Cervus hanglu yarkandensis (Yarkand deer)
Lineage: Eukaryota; Metazoa; Chordata; Mammalia; Artiodactyla; Cervidae
Source: Ensembl
GUCAGGGUUGAGGUCAUAGGCAAACACACUGUGGAAAACAGAAGUGCUGUGUUGCUUUGCCUUUGUGAAUAAGCAGUUUGGUGUUUGUUUAGUGAGACAAGCUCAUCCUGUUUUUCAGCUGCACCUUGGAUAGUAUUGAUCUGUUUGGGAGAAUGUCUGCCCCGAAUCGGCACAGAUCAGUCAUCAAGAUUCUUGUGGGCCUGGCGUUAUUUUCUAGCCAGUUGUAGGAAAUGAAACACAGGUCAAUAUGGUCUCAUCCGGGCCUCCUGUGAGCAUCAGCAAAAGAGUCAUCCAAUUUCUGGGGUCUAAAGUUCACAUCCAGUCCAUCCUAAAGGAAAUUAGUCCUGAAUGUUCAUUGGAAGGACUGAUAUUGAAGCUAAAACUCCAAUACUUUGGCCACCUGAUGCAAAGAGCUGACCCAUUUGACAAGACCCUGAUGCUGGGGAAGAUUGAAGGCAGGAGGAGAAGGGGAUGACAGAGGAUGAGAUGGUUGGAUGGCAUCACCAACUCAAUGGACAUGAAUCUGAGUGGACUCCAGGAGUUGGUGAUGGACAGGGAGGCCUGGUGUGCUGCAGUCCAUGGGGUCGCUACGAGUCGGACACGAUUGAGUGACUGGACUGAACUGAACUGAAAGUUCACAGGACACUUAGAUGUGACUUUAUAUAUCCUAUUGCAUCCUUUAUAGACUGUUAAUUAAUCAUCUUUCUUUGAAGAAGAAUUCAUUCCAAACCUAUUUUGCACUUUGCCUCUGCAUCUCCUAAGUUUGAAUCUAACUUUGGGUUUUCUGCUUUAUUCUAUUCAUUUAUUUGUCAAUCCUAUGUUGGUCUCAGAAUCUUGACUACUAUGAGGAAGUCAGGUAAUGUAAUUCCUUCAAUUUCUUUCUUGAAGAUUGCAAUUACAUUUAAUACAAUUGAAUAUUGUAGUUGUGUUUUCAUAUAAAUUUUAGAAUACAUUUAUGCAAUUCUAUAUGUACACACAAAAAGUUUGAUGGGAUUAUGAUUGGGAUAGAUCAAUUUAGGGAGAAUUGAAAUUUUAAAGUAACUAUGUGCCACAUAUAGAUAACUUAAAGAAACACAAAAUAUUUCUGAAAUUGAAGGGGAUUAUAAGGAAUCAAAUAUUAGAAACAAGUAGUAUCAAAAAGAAAGGGCUGUCCAUGAUUGACUGAUCCUUUGACAUAAAAGCAACAUUGAAAAGAGUCUUCAGGAGAUGGGAAUGGCAACCCAUUCCAGUAUUCUUGCCUGGAAAAUUCCAUGAACAGAAGAGGCUGGUGGGCUGCAGUCCAUGGGGUUACAUGACAGAGCACACACACGAGGGAGGUGAAGGAAGAUGGGUUGGUAGCAAUAAACAGAGGUAGAACUAAAAGAAAGAAAAGAGUCUUCAAAACCAUGAACAUGGUAUAUCUUUUCCAUUUACUUAGGUUUUAAUUGUUCUCAACUAUGGUUUGUAGAUCCAUUUUGUAUUUUAACAGUUAUUGAAAAACCAUGCAGAAAUAGAAUAAUAAAUACAGUUUCCAGCUCUUUACCUCAAAGGAUCUCGAUGAGUUAUAAAGAUUUCCUGGUGCAGGCUUAUACAUGUCUUCAAUACUUUUUAAGGCUGAUUAUCUAUAGUCAGUUAAAAAGAAUGUAUUGAACACUCGUUCCAGGAGUGGUGUACUAAUUCAUCAAAACCUCUUGCACGCAUUUUUUGGGUGUUGGUUUUAAACCACAGUCACUCCUUUGAAUGAAUAAUUUCUGUCACUAUGAGAUUUAUGCCCAUUGAAUAUUAAAAAUGAUCUUUUAUUGGUUAGUGUUCUAUUAAAUAUUAUUUCAUACUUUUCAUAUGAAUAGGCUCCUACUCAAAACAAUCCAUCAUUGGGACUUUCCUGGCGGUUCAGUGGUUAAGACUCCAUGCUUCCAGUGCAGGGGGCACAAGUUCAAUCUCUGGUUGGGAAACUGGGAUCCCACAUGCUGUGCAGCCAAAACAAAACAAAACAAAACAAAAACAAUCCAUCAUAGUGCUU